GUAGGUGAACCUGCGGAAGGAUCAUUAACACGUGAUACUCACGUAUUAAAAACCCACCGAGAAUUUGUUAUUUUGAAUCCUAUUGUUGAUUGUGAGUAGACGAAGUGAGGGAAUGCUAUUGACCGCCUUUCGAAAGAUUGUACGUCAUAACUCAUUAGUUGUUCUAGGUCCGCCCUGGAGCUUGCACCAAUAAAUAGUUGAUGAAUUACGACUGCUUAUUAAGCUUGUAGCAUAGCUUGCAGCUCGUAGU
RNAcentral lists this unclassified non-coding RNA (250 nucleotides) under plant metagenome. RNAcentral describes it as "partial contains small subunit ribosomal RNA, internal transcribed spacer 1, and 5.8S ribosomal RNA". The record is from RNAcentral.